Long non-coding RNA from Carcharodon carcharias (great white shark), 1273 nucleotides. RefSeq lists it as uncharacterized. The transcript has 4 exons. The record is from RefSeq and is a predicted model, not a curated record. Lineage: Eukaryota; Metazoa; Chordata; Chondrichthyes; Lamniformes; Lamnidae.
AAUAAUGCAACGUGAAAAAAAAAAGUUUGCAUUUUUAGAGUUGUUUUCAAAACCGCCAGGCAUCUCAAAGCAUUUUACAGCCUUUAAAGGCUUUGAAGUAUGGUCAUUGCUCUAAUGUAGGAUACAUGACAGCUAAUUUGCACACAGCGAACUCAUCCAAAAGAUGGGACCUCUGAAGAAGGGUCAUAUGGACUCGAAAUGUUAACUCUGUUUCUCUCUCCACAGAUGCUGCUAGACCUGCAGAGUUUUUUCUGGCAUUUUCUGCUUUUGUUUCAGAUUUCCAGCAUCUGCAGUAUUUUGCUUUUAACUCCAACAGUGCAGCAUUCUCAGAGUACUGCACUGAAGCGUCAGCCUUGAUGUUUGUGGAACCUUACGAUGGACAGACAAGAAUGCUACCAGCUGAGUCAUGACUAAUACAGAGACAUACUUUAUAAUGUCAAUGACUUCACUAAACAGCAAACCCUUCAACUGACCAUAUUGUCUGGGAUUGGAUUAAUUGACUCUCAUCAGAUGAAUUUGGCUGUCUGAUCCAACAGAGGGCAGUAGUGAGAAGUGACUGAGAAGCGUUCUGGGAGAAGUCAGCGCAGUCACCGUAACUCAGAAGAGGAUUGAGGAGGAUCCACUGUCAAAGAAUGAAAUAGCCCCAAACAUUACAUUGCUGAAGUGUUGCUAUCCCUCUCUCCUCCACAAACCAAAAAAAAAGAGAGAGAGGGAGAGGCAGUACCUUCAGCAGUGCACCAGACUGCGAGGGACACUCUUCCCGAAAGUGGAUUUUAAAAAAAGCAGCUGAUUGGGUUUCGAACCAGUGGAGACUUUGUGGGAGCAGAUAUUUCCUCUAGAUUUCCCUCUUCAAUAACAUCAUGAAUUGGAAGUAGCGUUUACAAGUUGCGCAAUCCUCACUCAUCAUAGUGUGCACCUAAUAACUACCCAAGAAUAGAUGGAAGCUACCCUCUAAAUGAAAAGGGUAAUCAGCCAGUGGUCCAAAGUUUCCUGGUAGUAUCCAGUACUACAGUUGGAUGUGCUAAGCUCUUCACAGCAUGAUCAGUUGCCGUGCCCUUCAAAUCAUGUGCUGAUGGCAUGGUGUUGAUUAAGCCUAGAAAGAAAUUCAAAACCACCACUGCUAGAGACAUUUGCACUGCCUUUGAUGCUCUGCGGCUGACCGACUCCAGUAACUCAUAAUGAACAAUAAAGAGAACAAUCAAAGCACUCCUUCCAGGAGAAGCAGCAAUCUACUUGUACUUUUUUCAAUUUAAUAAAAUGUAUUAAUUGCUCA